AUGAUGGCAUUUGAUGUCAACAGUGAACCAGUUGACAUGAAUAAUACUUCCAGCAAAGCGAAUCUGGAAAAUAGUGAACCUUUUGUUGGGAUGGAGUUUGAAUCAGAAGAGGCUGCAAAGGUGUUCUACAUGGCUUAUGCUAGUCGAGUAGGUUUCUCUGUGCGCAUUAGCAAGUCCCGACGCUCAAGGAAUGAUGAGUCUAUUAUCAUGCGCCGUUUUGUGUGUUCAAAGGAAGGUUUCCACCACAAGAAGCAAACUGACACUGGCAAGAGAAAGAGAAAGCGUGCAAUAAUAAGGGAGGGUUGCCAUGCGAUGAUCGAGGUUAGUCAGAAAUAUUAUGGGCGGUGGGUUGUGAUCAAGCUCAUCAAGGAACACAAUCAUGCUGUUGCAGCUCCAAGCAUAGUGAGAUACGUUGCGCCUGAAGAAUAUGCACAACUAGAACCUUUUGCAGGAAUGGAAUUCCCUUCUUAUGAAUCUGCCCAAACAUUCUACUAUGCGUAUGCUAGCCGUAUGGGCUUUGAUGUACGUAUCAGAUUAUCCCGCCGUUCACCAAAGGAUGAGACAUUUGUAAUGCGGCGCUUUGUUUGCACAAGGGAGGGGGCUACACCGUGCGAAGAAAAUGAGAACAGGAGAAAGAGAAACCGGGGUGUUCCAAGGGAAGGUUGCCAAGCGAUGUUUGAGAUAGUGAAGAAGGAUCAAGAUAAAUGGGUUGUUUCGAAGCUUUUCUUGGCACAUACACAUGAGCUGGCCAAUGUACCAAACAAGGUGCACUACAUUCAGUCAAACAGUGAGGUAGUUGUUCUUGCAAAAAGUAGUGUUCUUCGAGAGAAUUCAAUUGCUCCAACCUUGAAUUCACCUCUAGCAGACCUAGGGAGGAAUUUUGAAAAGCAGGCGACAAAUGAUCAAGAAAUAAGAGAACCACGCCACAUAUUAAAGAGAUCCAAGGACAUUUUGGCUGACAUAUAUUUUAGGCAUGUUUCUUUUGAAAGAGAAUUUUAUGUGUGCAUCAAUGAGCCUGAAACAAUUGAAAUGUUUGAGUUAAGUUGGAAGAAAGUCCUUGAUAAGUAUGACUUGCAUGACAACUCAUGGCUCCAGUCUCUGUACAGAAUUCGGCAAAAAUGGGUUCCUGUAUAUUUCAAAGGUGUAUUUACUGCUGAUCUUUCAGCAUCUCAGAGACCUGAAAGCUUGAGAAACAUCUUUGAGAAGUACUUCAACAGAAGAACAGCUUUACCAGUUUUCAUUUCAUUGUUUGAGCAUCUGAUGGCCGGUUGGUCAGAAAGAGAAGCUGUGGAGGAUCUGGCCACAUCUUUUACCAGACCUGUCCUAAGAACCCCCUCAAACAUGAUGAAACAA
Molecule: long non-coding RNA, 1353 nt
Filed under: Oryza sativa Indica Group (long-grained rice)
Lineage: Eukaryota; Viridiplantae; Streptophyta; Magnoliopsida; Poales; Poaceae
Also listed under: 1 other name
Description: lncRNA OsPr106_03g0032190
Source: RNAcentral